GGUUACUGCUAUCGGGGUUCGACUGAAGCCAUGCGAGUCAAAUGUUCUUCGUGAACAUGGUGUACUGCUCAGUAACACGUGGAUAACCUACCCUUAGGACUGGGAUAACCCCGGGAAACUGGGGAUAAUCCCGGAUAAGCCAUAGACGCUGGAAUGCCCUAUGGCUCAAAGCUCCGGCGCCUAAGGAUGGGUCUGCGGUCUAUCAGGUUGUAGUGGGUGUAACGUACCUACUAGCCGACGACGGUGACGGGUUGUGAGAGCAAGAGCCCGGAGAUGGAUUCUGAGACACGAAUCCAGGCCCUGACGGGGUGCAGCAGGUCGCGAAAACUUUACAAUGCGGGAAACCGCGAUAAGGGAACCCCGAGUGCCAGCACCAAGUGUUGGCUGUCCAGAUGAUUAAAACUCAUCUGAUAGCAAGGGCCGGGCAAGACCGGUGCCAGCCGCCGCGGUAACACCGGCGGCCCGAGUGGUAACCGUUUUUAUUGGGUCUAAAGGGUCCGUAGCCGGUCUGACAAGUCUCUUGGGAAAUCUGGCAGCUUAACUGUCAGGCUUCUAAGGGAUACUGUCAGGCUUGGGACCGGGAGAGGUAAGGGGUACUCCAGGGGUAGGAGUGAAAUCUUGUAAUCCUUGGGGGACCAUCUGUGGCGAAGGCGCCUUACCAGAACGGGUCCGACGGUGAGGGACGAAAGCUAGGGGAGCAAACCGGAUUAGAUACCCGGGUAGUCCUAGCUGUAAACGAUGCUCGCUAGGUGUCGAGCACGGUGCGUCCGUGUUCGGUGCCGCAGGGAAGCCGUGAAGCGAGCCACCUGGGAAGUACGGUCGCAAGGCUGAAACUUAAAGGAAUUGGCGGGGGGGCACUACAACGGGUGGAGCCUGCGGUUUAAUUGGAUUCAACGCCGGAAAACUCACCGGGUGCGACAGCAAUAUGUGGGUCAGGCUGAAGGUCUUACCUGAAUCGCUGAGAGGAGGUGCAUGGCCGUCGUCAGUUCGUACUGUGAAGCAUCCUGUUAAGUCAGGCAACGAGCGAGACCCGCGCCCACAGUUGCCAGCAUGUUCUCCGGAACGAUGGGCACACUGUGGGGACCGCCGCUGCUAAAGCGGAGGAAGGAACGGGCUACGGUAGGUCAGUAUGCCCCGAAUCUCCCGGGCUACACGCGGGCUACAAUGGUUGGGACAAUGGGCACCUACCCCGAAAGGGGACGGUAAUCUCCGAAACCCAACCGUAGUUCGGAUUGAGGGCUGUAACUCGCCCUCAUGAAGCUGGAAUCCGUAGUAAUCGCGUUUCAACAUAGCGCGGUGAAUACGUCCCUGCUCCUUGCACACACCGCCCGUCAAACCAUGCGAGUGAGGUCUGGGUGAGGGCGUGCCUCUAACACGUUCGAACCUGGGCUUCGCAAGUGGGGUU
This 1405-nucleotide ribosomal RNA is filed under the name uncultured archaeon. Its description in RNAcentral is "bacterial SSU rRNA". It matches the Rfam family "Archaeal small subunit ribosomal RNA". The record is from RNAcentral.